RNAcentral lists this ribosomal RNA (450 nucleotides) under uncultured bacterium. Its description in RNAcentral is "partial 16S ribosomal RNA". It matches the Rfam family "Bacterial small subunit ribosomal RNA", at positions 338 to 795 of the family's 1533-position model. The record is from RNAcentral.
CCUACUGGUGGCUGCAGUAGGGAAUAUUGGACAAUGGGCGCAAGCCUGAUCCAGCCAUCCCGCGUGAAGGAUUAAGGCCCUCUGGGUUGUAAACUUCUUUUCUUUGGGAAUAAAAACUCCGAUUCAUCGGAGCUUGAAGGUACCAGAGGAAUAAGCACCGGCUAACUCCGUGCCAGCAGCCGCGGUAAUACGGAGGGUGCAAGCGUUAUCCGGAUUCACUGGGUCGAAAGUGUGCGUGGGUGGCUUUGUAGAAAGCCUGGAGCUCAACUCCGGAACUGCCAUUGAUACUGCUUAGCUUGAAUCAGGUCGAGGUGGAUGGAAUAUUACAUGUAGCGGUGAAAUGCUUAGAUAUGUAAUAGAACACCGAUUGCGAAGGCAGUUCACUAGGCCUGUAUUGACACUGAGGCACGAAAGCGUGGGGAUCAAACAGGAUUAGAUACCCCGGUAGUC